This 300-nucleotide ribosomal RNA is filed under the name uncultured Thermotoga sp. Its description in RNAcentral is "bacterial SSU rRNA". It matches the Rfam family "Bacterial small subunit ribosomal RNA", at positions 496 to 795 of the family's 1533-position model. Lineage: Bacteria; Thermotogati; Thermotogota; Thermotogae; Thermotogales; Thermotogaceae. The record is from RNAcentral.
GGGACCUCGGGGUCAGGUGCCGGGGUAAACCAGGUGUGUCAAGCGUUGUUCGGAAGUACUGGGCGUAAAGGGCGCGUAGGAGGCCGCCUAAGUCAGACGGGAAAUCCCCAAGCUUAACUUGGGAACUGCGUCUGAUACUGGGUGGCUUGAGUUCGGGAGAGGAAUGUGGAAGUCCAGGUGUAGCGGUGAAAUGCGUAGAUAUCUGGAGGAACACCGGUGGCGAAGGCGGCAUUCUGGACCGAAACUGACGCUGAUGCGCGAAAGCCAGGGGAGCAAACGGGAUUAGAUACCCUUGUAGUC